Molecule: ribosomal RNA, 376 nt
Filed under: uncultured Microcoleus sp.
Lineage: Bacteria; Bacillati; Cyanobacteriota; Cyanophyceae; Oscillatoriales; Microcoleaceae
Description: bacterial SSU rRNA
Rfam family: Bacterial small subunit ribosomal RNA
Source: RNAcentral
GUGAGGGAGGAGGCUCUUGGGUUGUAAACCUCUUUUCUCAGGGAAGAAGCUCUGACGGUACCUGAGGAAUCAGCCUCGGCUAACUCCGUGCCAGCAGCCGCGGUAAUACGGAGGAGGCAAGCGUUAUCCGGAAUUAUUGGGCGUAAAGCGUCCGCAGGUGGCGAUUCAAGUCUGCUGUCAAAGCACGGGGCUUAACUCCGUUAAGGCAGUGGAAACUGAAUAGCUAGAGUGCCGUAGGGGUAGAGGGAAUUCCCGGUGUAGCGGUGAAAUGCGUAGAGAUCGGGAAGAACAUCGGUGGCGAAAGCGCUCUACUGGACGGCAACUGACACUCAGGGACGAAAGCUAGGGGAGCGAAUGGGAUUAGAUACCUCAGUAG